This 65-nucleotide transfer RNA is filed under the name Microconema clavata. RNAcentral's name for it is "tRNA-Leu". The record is from RNAcentral. Lineage: Eukaryota; Metazoa; Arthropoda; Insecta; Orthoptera; Tettigoniidae.
UCUAAUAUGGCAGAUAAGUGCAGUAGAUUUAAGCUCUACAUAUAAAGAUUAUACUUUUAUUAGAA